GUAAUACGUAGGUGGCAAGCGUUAUCCGGGAUUUAUUGGGCGUAAAGAGAGUGCAGGCGGUUUUCUAAGUCUGAUGUGAAAGCUUUCGGCUUAACCGGAGAAGUGCAUCGGAAACUGGAUAACUUGAGUGCAGAAGAGGGUAGUGGAACUCCAUGUGUAGCGGUGGAAUGCGUAGAUAUAUGGAAGAACACCAGUGGCGAAGGCGGCUACCUGGUCUGCAACUGACGCUGAGACUCGAAAGCAUGGGUAGCGAACAGGAUUAGAUACCCUGGUAGUCCAUGCCGUAAACGAUGAGUGCUAGGUGUUGGAGGGUUUCCGCCCUUCAGUGCCGGAGCUAACGCAUUAAGCACUCCGCCUGGGGAGUACGACCGCAAGGUUGAAACUCAAAGGAAUUGACGGGGGCCCGCACAAGCGGUGGAGCAUGUGGUUUAAUUCGAAGCUACGCGAAGAACCUUACCAGGUCUUGACAUCUUGCGCCAACCCUAGAGAUAGGGCGUUUCCUUCGGGAACGCAAUGACAGGUGGUGCAUGGUCGUCGUCAGCUCGUGUCGUGAGAUGUUGGGUUAAGUCCCGCAACGAGCGCAACCCUUGUUACUAGUUGCCAGCAUUAAGUUGGGCACUCUAGUGAGACUGCCGGUGACAAACCGGAGGAAGGUGGGGACGACGUCAGAUCAUCAUGCCCCUUAUGACCUGGGCUACACACGUGCUACAAUGGACGGUACAACGAGUCGCGAACUCGCGAGGGCAAGCAAAUCUCUUAAAACCGUUCUCAGUUCGGACUGCAGGCUGCAACUCGCCUGCACGAAGUCGGAAUCGCUAGUAAUCGCGGAUCAGCAUGCCGCGGUGAAUACGUUCCCGGGCCUUGUACACACCGCCCGUCACACCAUGAGAGUUUGUAACACCCAAAGUCGGUGGGGUAACCU
This 922-nucleotide ribosomal RNA is filed under the name Limosilactobacillus fermentum. Its description in RNAcentral is "bacterial SSU rRNA". It matches the Rfam family "Bacterial small subunit ribosomal RNA", at positions 520 to 1441 of the family's 1533-position model. The record is from RNAcentral. Lineage: Bacteria; Bacillati; Bacillota; Bacilli; Lactobacillales; Lactobacillaceae.